RNA transcript from Armigeres subalbatus, 2341 nucleotides. It is a transcript of the gene named transmembrane and coiled-coil domains protein 2, with no coding region annotated. Lineage: Eukaryota; Metazoa; Arthropoda; Insecta; Diptera; Culicidae. The record is from RefSeq and is a predicted model, not a curated record. The transcript is spliced from 12 exons.
UUUCUGACAGAAAUGACAGAAUAGAAAAAUAGCUUUUUGGAUUAUUUUUAUUAUACAUAUUUUGGACUUCUGAAUAUCUGAUUGUUCCGAUUGUUCUCGUUCUGCCUGAAGUCUGUAAACUCUGUAAACUAGAUUAGAGAAUGGGAGAACAAUAAUUAUGAAGACUUAAUUCAAAAUUUAUCUUCAUAUUCAAAAUAGUUGAAUUGUUAUUUUGUUCAAAAACAGAUCUUCAUGGAAACUUUAAAAGUUUUAACAAAAUCACAAUCUGCUGAAAAUAAACAUUCCAGCAGGGAUAAUUCUCCUAACCGUCAUGCGCUAAAUGAAUUAUCGGAUGUGCCACGGACUGCACUACAAAAUGAUGAGAGUCCUAGUCUACGCAACGAUAGCAUUCAUGCACCACAAGACAGAGAGGGAUCAACAGUUACUAAUGAGAAUUCAUCUAUUUUUGAUUUUGUGAAAGAUAUUGAUGAAACAUGCAUUCCAUCUUCCCAGGUAGAUGAAAAUGACGGGAACUUGACAACAAUAUCCCAACUCAGUAAUGAUUCAUCUGACAUAAAGCAUUUCUACAAAAGCCAUCAUAGAACAAGUAGCUCACUCGCAUAUAAUCGCAUUACGACUAAAAUUGCAUGCACUAAAGAAUCAAUUAAGAAGGAACAGACUGCUCGAGACGCCAAUGUUAACGAGUACUUAAAACUAGCUGCAAAUGCUGAUAAACAACAACUACAGCGAAUAAAGGCAGUUUUUGAAAAAAAGAAUCAAAAAAGUGCACAUAAUAUUUCACUGCUGCAGAAAAAACUAGAAUCUUAUAGUAAACGAUACAAAGACAUGCAAUAUCAUCAAAACCAGAAACAACAGAUUCGACAGCCGAGGGAGAUGCUACGAGAUGUUGGGCAAGGAUUAAGAAAUGUGGGAGGGAACAUACGCGACGGAGUGUCAGGCCUUUCUGCUACUGUUAUGUCUAAGCCGCGAGAGUUUGCACAUCUCAUUAAGAAUAAAUUUGGAAGUGCCGAUAAUAUUAAUCAACUUUCUUCUACAUGGUACGCAGAUCACAACAUAAUGGAUAUAAAUCGCCCAUCACGCAUCGAGGACAAUGUAUCUUUUGGUUACGAUAACGUACUGAAUUCGAGCCUAGGAAUUGGAGAAGAAGCUGAUACGAUUGGUAUAUCCAGUCCAGGAAUUAUAGGAGAUAUGGAAGAAAAAUACAGCGAGCAAGCAAGCGACUGUAGCAGCGUUACGAGCGAUAGUAUUCCUUUGAGUUCUGGUAAACUUCGCGUUAUGCGUAAUAGCCAUUGUGCAAAUAGCAAAGCAAUAAAUGAUAUUCGUGACAAUUACGACAGAUUGAAGGGAAAACUGGACAGAUUAGAGAUUUUACACAAAGAUGUUACCGAACUAGCUAUGUCAUUAGAAACAGAGCGGUACCGAGCGGAAAGGUUGGAGGAACAAUUAAAUGACUUAACAGAAUUGCACCAGAAUGAGAUCGAAAAUUUGAAACAAGCCAUAGCAGAUUUAGAAGAAAAAGUACAAUAUCAAAGCGAUGAAAGAUUACGCGAUGUUUAUGAGAUAAUGGAAAAUUGUCAAACCAGGAUAUCUAAAAUAGAACAUCUGUCGCAGCAACAAUAUGUAACAGUAGAAGGAAUAGAUAAUUCCAAUGCAAGGGCGGUGGUUGUCAAAUUGAUAAAUGUCGUUUUGACAGUUCUCCAAGUGAUACUUUUGCUUGUGGCAACAGCCGCUGGUAUUACUAUGCCUUUUCUGAAAACAAGAAUGUUUCGCUUUUACCCUCAACACGCCUCCAUUAGCGUGCAUCACCUAAAUUCUCCAGAUGUUACAGUUGCCAAAUGGAAAAACCUCAUUAUCAAUGGCAAAAUCAGCAAAGACAGAAGGUAGAGGAGAUCGUGGAGAUAAAAGUUAAACUAUUUUCUUUUCCAGUAAAUAGUAAGUUUACGAAAAAUAUUGUGUGAAUUAUUCAGCAUCAUGGAGUGUGAAUCAAGGUCAACUGUCUCGCCAUCAACGACGUCAACCUGGAUCUGGAUAUUACUACCGGAAGGAAUGGACGAUCCUUUGGUGAACAAAGCUGUUGAAGAAUUAUUCCGCGUUGAGCACUAUAUUUCGACCAGCAGUUUGGAAACUACAUUCCACGAAAUAAAUCAAACCUUUAGCCAAGGGCCAUUACUUAAGUCCCGAGUUCAAUGCAACGGAACACAAACUGCAGUAUUCAACCAUAUUUAACAGUUGCACAUCAUAUUUUCUGCCAAAUUCUGCCGCUAUCGUCAUAGUUUGGCUACAUUGCUUAAGGAUCUAGAUUUUCGUUCCGGAAAAAGUUGGAUUAAAACCAUGUAAUUAA